RNAcentral lists this ribosomal RNA (494 nucleotides) under uncultured bacterium. Its description in RNAcentral is "partial 16S ribosomal RNA". It matches the Rfam family "Bacterial small subunit ribosomal RNA", at positions 28 to 507 of the family's 1533-position model. The record is from RNAcentral.
GACGAACGCUGGCGGCGUGCCUAAUACAUGCAAGUCGAACGGUUUAGUUCCAAGAGGCUUGCCUUUUGGAACUAGACAGUGGCGGACGGGUGAGUAACACGUAGGCAACCUACCUGUCAAACCGGGAUAACCUCGGGAAACCGAAGCUAAACCCGGAUAAGCUCCUUUUUCGCAUGAAGGGGGAGUGAAAAGGUGCGACCUGAUGACAGAUGGGCCUGCGGCGCAUUAGCUAGUAGGUAGGGUAACGGCCUACCUAGGCGAUGAUGCGUAGCCGACCUGAGAGGGCGUACGGCCACACUGGGACUGAGAUACGGCCCAGACUCCUACGGGAGGCAGCAGUAGGGAAUCUUCGGCAAUGGGCGAAAGCCUGACCGAGCAACGCCGCGUGAGUGAGGAUGGCCUUCGGGUUGUAAAACUCUGUUGUUUGGGAAGAAGGGAAAGGGUAGGACCCUUAGGUGACGGUACCAAACGAGAAAGCCCCGGCUAACUACGUG